GACGAUAGCAGUGAAUUUUGGACA
RNAcentral lists this non-coding RNA (24 nucleotides) under Drosophila melanogaster (fruit fly). Lineage: Eukaryota; Metazoa; Arthropoda; Insecta; Diptera; Drosophilidae. The record is from RNAcentral.